UACGGAGGGGGCUAGCGUUGUUCGGAAUUACUGGGCGUAAAGCGCACGUAGGCGGACUGUUAAGUCGGGGGUGAAGUCCUGGGGCUCAACCUCAGAAUUGCCUCCGAUACUGGCAGUCUCGAGUGCGGGAGAGGUGAGUGGAAUUCCCAGUGUAGAGGUGAAAUUCGUAGAUAUUGGGAAGAACACCAGUGGCGAAGGCGGCUCACUGGCCCGUAACUGACGCUGAGGUGCGAAAGCGUGGGGAGCAAACAGG
Molecule: ribosomal RNA, 253 nt
Filed under: uncultured bacterium
Lineage: Bacteria
Description: partial 16S ribosomal RNA
Rfam family: Bacterial small subunit ribosomal RNA
Source: RNAcentral